RNAcentral lists this ribosomal RNA (119 nucleotides) under Lupinus angustifolius (narrow-leaved blue lupine). The record is from RNAcentral. Lineage: Eukaryota; Viridiplantae; Streptophyta; Magnoliopsida; Fabales; Fabaceae.
AGGUGUGAUCAUACCAGCACUAAUGCACGAUAUCCCAUCAAAACUCCGCAGAUAAGCGUGCUUGGGCUAGAGUAAUACUAGGAUGUGUGACCUCCUGGGAAGUCCUCGUGUUGCACAUA